This 387-nucleotide long non-coding RNA is filed under the name Physcomitrium patens. RNAcentral's name for it is "long non-coding RNA (PPAT_LNC008146)". Lineage: Eukaryota; Viridiplantae; Streptophyta; Bryopsida; Funariales; Funariaceae. The record is from RNAcentral.
CUGGACUAAAAGUGCCUUCUAGAUAAUGAUGCCAUUCUUGAAAUGAAUCCUUAAUUGCAAGAAGCUCUUUGUUGUAGACUGUAGAAUAAAUAUUAGUUCGUUUCUAUAAGAUAUUGAUAAAAUAGACUAAUAGUCCAUAGAAUAGUUAAGUCAAGAAGAUGGAUGAUUGAUUUAGUUAUUAAAAGUGGUUAAUUACAGAAUUACAGUUAGAAUCUGGGAAUCACGAGUAGUUAUAUAAGAGUUGUAAAAGUUUGUUGGAUGCCAGAUUGUGAUAGUCAUGAGCCGGGAUAAGCUUGGUGCUACUUCUUUGUUUCUUUAUUUUCUUUGUUGUUGAAGAAUAAUGGAUAGUUUCUAAAUAUUGAGAAGUGAGUUUGUGGAAUAAAUCAG